UGCCAGCAGCCGCGGUAAUACGGAGGGUGCGAGCGUUAUCCGGAUUCACUGGGUUUAAAGGGUGCGUAGGAGGGCAGGUAAGUCAUGUGAAUUCGACUUACUUGAACGCGUGAUAUAUUUCUGAUAUGUGAGUGAGCGGAAUAUUUCAUGUAGCGGUGAAAUGCUUAGAUAUGACAUAGAACCCCCAAUUGCGAAGGCAGCUCGCUACACAUAUAUUGACUCUGAGGCACGAAAGCGUGGGGAUCAAACAGGAUUAGAUACCCUGGUAGUCCACGCCCUAAACGAUGGAUACUCGACAUACGCGAUACACAGUGUGUGUCUGAGCGAAAGCAUUAAGUAUCCCACCUGGGAAGUACGACCGCAAGGUUGAAACUCAAAGGAAUUGACGGGGGCCCGCACAAG
This 402-nucleotide ribosomal RNA is filed under the name uncultured bacterium. RNAcentral's name for it is "bacterial SSU rRNA". It matches the Rfam family "Bacterial small subunit ribosomal RNA", at positions 506 to 929 of the family's 1533-position model. The record is from RNAcentral.